RNAcentral lists this ribosomal RNA (440 nucleotides) under uncultured bacterium. Its description in RNAcentral is "partial 16S ribosomal RNA". It matches the Rfam family "Bacterial small subunit ribosomal RNA", at positions 338 to 795 of the family's 1533-position model. The record is from RNAcentral.
CCUACGGGUGGCAGCAGUGGGGGAUAUUGCACAAUGGGGGAAACCCUGAUGCAGCGACGCCGCGUGUGGGAAGACGGUCUUCUGGAUUGUAAACCACUGUCCUCAGGGACGAAAAUGAUGGUACCUGGGGAGGAAGCUCCGGCUAACUACGUGCAAGCGGCCGCGGUAAUACGUAGGGAGCAAGCGUUGUCCGGAAUUACUGGGUGAAAGGGGAGCGUAGGGGGGGAUGCAGGUUGGGGGUCAAUAUUAUGGCCAAACCGGAUAGUCGAAGUCAAAACUGCAAGUCUUGAGUAAAGUAGAGGCGGGCGGAAUCCGUGGUGUAGCGGUGAAAUGCUUAGAUAUUAGGAAGAACACCGAUGGCGAAGGCAGCUCACUGGACUUCUACUGACACGGAGGCUCGAAAGUGUGGGUAGCAAACAGGAUUAGAUACCCGUGUAGUC